RNAcentral lists this ribosomal RNA (492 nucleotides) under uncultured bacterium. Its description in RNAcentral is "partial 16S ribosomal RNA". It matches the Rfam family "Bacterial small subunit ribosomal RNA", at positions 29 to 507 of the family's 1533-position model. The record is from RNAcentral.
AGUGAACGCUGGCGGUAGGCCUAACACAUGCCAGUCGAACGGCAGCACAGUAAGAGCUUGCUCUUACGGGUGGCGAGUGGCGGACGGGUGGGGAAUACAUCGGAAUCUACUUUUUCGUGGGGGAUAACGUAGGGAAACUUACGCCAAUACCGCAUACGACCUACGGGUGAAAGCAGGGGAUCUUCGGACCUUGCGCGAUUGAAUGAGCCGAUGUCGGAUUAGCUAGUUGGCGGGGUAAAGGCCCACCAAGGCGACGAUCCGUAGCUGGUCUGAGAGGAUGAUCAGCCACACUGGAACUGAGACACGGUCCAGACUCCUACGGGAGGCAGCAGUGGGGAAUAUUGGACAAUGGGCGCAAGCCUGAUCCAGCCAUACCGCGUGGGUGAAGAAGGCCUUCGGGUUGUAAAGCCCUUUUGUUGGGAAAGAAAAGCAGCAGGUUAAUACCCCGCUGUUCUGACGGUACCCAAAGAAUAAGCACCGGCUAACUUCGUG